GACGAACGCUGGCGGCGGGCUUAACACAUGCAAGUCGAACGGAAAGGCCCUGCUUGUGUGGGGUGCUCGAGUGGCGAACGGGUGAGUAACACGUGAGUAACCUGCCCUUGACUUUGGGAUAACUUCAGGAAACUGGGGCUAAUACCGGAUAGGAGCUCCUGCUGCAUGGUGGGGGUUGGAAAGUUUCGGCGGGUGGGGAUGGACUCGCGGCUUAUCAGCUUGUUGGUUGGGUAGUGGCUUACCAAGGCUUUGACGGGUAGCCGGCCUGAGAGGGUGACCGGCCACAUUGGGACUGAGAUACGGCCCAGACUCCUACGGGAGGCAGCAGUGGGGAAUAUUGCACAAUGGGCGGAAGCCUGAUGCAGCAACGCCGCGUGCGGGAUGACGGCCUUCGGGUUGAAAACCGCUUUCGCCUGUGACGAAGCGUGAGUGACGGUAAUGGGUAAAGAAGCACCGGCUAACUACGUG
Molecule: ribosomal RNA, 468 nt
Filed under: uncultured bacterium
Lineage: Bacteria
Description: partial 16S ribosomal RNA
Rfam family: Bacterial small subunit ribosomal RNA
Source: RNAcentral